This 612-nucleotide ribosomal RNA is filed under the name uncultured Bacteroidales bacterium. RNAcentral's name for it is "bacterial SSU rRNA". It matches the Rfam family "Bacterial small subunit ribosomal RNA", at positions 77 to 683 of the family's 1533-position model. The record is from RNAcentral. Lineage: Bacteria; Pseudomonadati; Bacteroidota; Bacteroidia; Bacteroidales.
UGCUUGCAAACUAAAGAUGGCGACCGGCGCACGGGUGAGUAACACGUAUCCAACCUGCCGAUAACUCGGGGAUAGCCUUUCGAAAGAAAGAUUAAUAUCCGAUGGUAUAUUUUCUCCGCAUGGUGAGAAUAUUAAAGAAUUUCGGUUAUCGAUGGGGAUGCGUUCCAUUAGUUUGUUGGCGGGGUAACGGCCCACCAAGACCACGAUGGAUAGGGGUUCUGAGAGGAAGGUCCCCCACAUUGGAACUGAGACACGGUCCAAACUCCUACGGGAGGCAGCAGUGAGGAAUAUUGGUCAAUGGACGAGAGUCUGAACCAGCCAAGUAGCGUGAAGGAUGACUGCCCUAUGGGUUGUAAACUUCUUUUAUAUGGGAAUAAAGUGUUCCACGUGUGGGAUUUUGUAUGUACCAUAUGAAUAAGGAUCGGCUAACUCCGUGCCAGCAGCCGCGGUAAUACGGAGGAUCCGAGCGUUAUCCGGAUUUAUUGGGUUUAAAGGGAGCGUAGGUGGAUUGUUAAGUCAGUUGUGAAAGUUUGCGGCUCAACCGUAAAAUUGCAGUUGAAACUGGCAGUCUUGAGUACAGUAGAGGUGGGCGGAAUUCGUGGUGUAGCGGUG